UAUUUUUAUUGCUUUCCAUAAACACUUUGUUGCUUCUUUUUUUUGUUUCGCCGUCUCAGAUCGUUUUCAUUGUCUUAGUUACCGUACCUUCCUGCUAGACUGAGCACAAGUAUCUCGUAUCUUGAGCCAUGUCAGCACUCGUUCUGCGUAUCAAAUUUCCUAGCGAGUAUCCCUUGAUUUACAAAACGCUCAGGGUCAAUGCCAACUACAAUGUUAAAGAGGCUAUUGCAUACAUCUCGCAGACAGUCAACACGACCAGCCUUUUAAAGGGUAACGAAGGUUUAUAUAUCCCAGAUCGGGAUAAGUGGUUAGAAGACGAUGUCCCACUAUCUUCAUUCGAUUUUCUUCAAGACGUUGAGCACAUCGAAUUUAAAUCUAAAACAAGUGAUGGCGGUUCACAGAAAUCUUCUUCUGGUGGCUCCUCUGGGGGAAGUCGUGCAGGCGGUGGUGGCUGCUGUGCCAUUUUGUAGACAACUAUUUUUCAUAUUACUCCUCCAGAAAGAGGUUCCUUCCCUUCUAUUGCACACACAUCUAUGCAUUUCGGGUGGCAUAUAUUCACUAAGAGCUGUUGUCCCUAGAUUCGGCAAAUUCUUCAAAAAAAACGCUUCAUGGAUCGAUUGCGCCUCGUAAUGACUAACAGACAUAUAUGUCUCUGUAGCUAACACCAAGCUGUGGGAUCACAUUUCUGAGUCCAUUUGCGAGUUGCCCUGCUUCUGGACAUAUUCUCAGUUUGUACAUUUUCAAAUGUAUUCAGCGGUCAAAUUUUUUCAUGCACAAGA
Molecule: long non-coding RNA, 779 nt
Organism: Schistocerca gregaria
Lineage: Eukaryota; Metazoa; Arthropoda; Insecta; Orthoptera; Acrididae
Exons: 3
Source: RefSeq, a predicted model, not a curated record